UAGGGAAUCUUCCACAAUGGGCGCAAGCCUGAUGGAGCAACGCCGCGUGAGUGAAGAAGGUCUUCGGAUCGUAAAACUCUGUUGUUAGAGAAGAACAUGCAGGAGAGUAACUGUUCUUGUAUCGACGGUAUCUAACCAGAAAGCCACGGCUAACUACGUGCCAG
Molecule: ribosomal RNA, 164 nt
Filed under: uncultured bacterium
Lineage: Bacteria
Description: partial 16S rRNA
Rfam family: Bacterial small subunit ribosomal RNA
Source: RNAcentral